UCACUCGCCAGCCCGCGGGGGCGCGGCGCCCCAGCUCCCGGCCCCGGGCCUGUCUAGGACCCCCGCCCAGUCCAGGGAGGGGGUGCCGCCCCUCCGCCUCCGCCCGGUGCGCGCACGCAGGGGCGCGGCGCCGGCCGGGCCGAGCCCGUCCCGGGGCGCUUGCUACUCCCGCCCACCCCACUUCCCCACCCGGCCUCGCCCCCUGACCGCCCCUCGCUGCUCCUCCCGGGCUGCACUCCUCUUCCACCCGCCGCGUCCCAAGCCCCUAGCUCGGAUCCUGGGCUUCAGCCUGCGUACCCCGGGGAUGCCAGGGCCCGCGGCCGCCGGCGCCCUCGGGGCACCAGAGAGAGAGAGAUGCUACGUUCUGUGCAAAACCUCUUACAGAUCACGCUGUGUAUUGAGUCCAGACGAAAAGCACAGGGAAAACCCCAACCUCGAGCGAGCCCCGUCUCACCUGAGGUCAGAACCUCUGAUGUUAGAGGGGCUGUUUUCGCAGCCAACAUGAACAUGGAGAAGGGACAAUUCAACCUUGUCUUCGCAGGUGGGUUUUCCCAAGCACGCGAUAAAGGAUGUAAACAGGAAGUGCUCCAUAAGCACUUCCGGUGGGAGGCUCUCUGUUAGGGGCUGGAGCAGAGGCUGGGGGAGGUGGGCGGGGACCCCGGAGCCCAGGAGUGGGUGUCCUUCCCUGCGGGAGUGGGCAACUGUCUGCUUUGAUGGCCCAGCUCUUUUUCCUCCUUCUACUGACAGCACCUUUUUUUUUCCUUAGAGAAAAGUGCUUCUCCUGUAGGCUCAGUCUGUAAUGUUUGGGUGGGACUCUGGCACACAGCAUGGAGGUACCUCUGAAAACUAAAUAUAGAACUACCAUUUGACCCACUCCUCCGCAUGUAUCCAGACAAAACUUUCACUGAAGAAGAUACAUGCACCCCUGUGCUCAUUGCAGUGCUAUUCACAAUAGCCAAGACAUGGAAACGACCUAAAUGUCCAUCAACAGAUGAAUGGGUUAAGAAGAUGUGAUAUAUAUAUAUAUAUAUACACACACACACACAAUGGAAUACUACUCAGCUAUAAAAAAGAACAAAGUAAUUUGCAGUGAUAUGGGUGGAACUAGAGACUCACAUACUAAGUGAAGUAAGUCAGAAAGAGGAAGACAAAUACCAUAUGACACCACUAAUAUCUGGAAGCUAAUAUACAGGUGGAAAUGAACCUAUCUAUGAAAAGAAACACACUCAUGGACUUGGAGAACAGAGUUGUGGUUGC
Molecule: long non-coding RNA, 1257 nt
Filed under: Sus scrofa (pig)
Lineage: Eukaryota; Metazoa; Chordata; Mammalia; Artiodactyla; Suidae
Description: lncRNA (ENSSSCG00050040484.1)
Source: RNAcentral